This 250-nucleotide ribosomal RNA is filed under the name uncultured bacterium. Its description in RNAcentral is "partial 16S ribosomal RNA". It matches the Rfam family "Bacterial small subunit ribosomal RNA", at positions 524 to 776 of the family's 1533-position model. The record is from RNAcentral.
GACGGGGGGGGCAAGUGUUCUUCGGAAUGACUGGGCGUAAGGGCACGUAGGCGGUGAAUCGGGUUGAAAGUGAAAGUCGCCAAAAAGUGGCGGAAUGCUCUCGAAACCAAUUCACUUGAGUGAGACAGAGGAGAGUGGAAUUUCGUGUGUAGGGGUGAAAUCCGUAAAUAUACGAAGGAACGCCAAAAGCGAAGGCAGCUCUCUGGGUCCCUACCGACGCUGGGGUGCGAAAGCAUGGGGAGCGAACAGG